This 465-nucleotide ribosomal RNA is filed under the name uncultured bacterium. RNAcentral describes it as "partial 16S ribosomal RNA". It matches the Rfam family "Bacterial small subunit ribosomal RNA", at positions 28 to 507 of the family's 1533-position model. The record is from RNAcentral.
GACGAACGCUGGCGGCGUGCUUAACACAUGCAAGUCGAACGCUGAAACCGCGACGGUGGGGGUUGGGUGGCGGAGGGGUGCGUAACACGAAGGCAACCUUCCCCCGCCUCUGGGAUAAGGCCAAGAACGUGGGGCCAAUACUGGAACUGGCCACUGUCCUGAUGGGCAGGGGUUGGUAGGGAUUGCCGGCUGGGGUGGGGCUCGGGGCGGAACAGCUUGUAGGUGGGGUAGUGGGCUACCAAGGCGACGACGGGUGGCCGGCCGGGGAGGCUGACCGGCCACACUGGGACUGACAGACGGCAGCGGCUGCUACGGGUGGCAGCAGUGGGGAAUCUUGCGGAAUCGGCGCAAGCCUGACGAAGAGACGCUGCGUGGCGGAUGACGGUGUUCGUGUUGUAGACCAAUUUCAGCAGGAACGAAGCGCAAGUGACGGUACCUGCAUAAGAAGCACCGGCCAACUUCGUG